This is a long non-coding RNA of Musa acuminata AAA Group (dessert banana), 2535 nucleotides long. RefSeq lists it as uncharacterized. The record is from RefSeq and is a predicted model, not a curated record. Lineage: Eukaryota; Viridiplantae; Streptophyta; Magnoliopsida; Zingiberales; Musaceae. The transcript is spliced from 5 exons.
GCAAAUCGGCGGUGGGUAUGUUGCUGCCCUUUCUUGAACGCUUUCCCGCUAAGGUCUGCUCCGAUUUCAAUCUCGGAUUAGGGCUUCCGAUCCUCUGGUGACGGGUCUUUGAGGCCUCUAGUUGGUCUCGAGAAGACGCCUGUCGCAUCCUCGAGCGAAUCGCGAAGCGAAGCCCUCCACGAUCUGGAUAGAUGGUUGAUUAGCAGGAAAGUGCUGCGGAUGCUUUGGAUUUGUGUCGGAGUUGUUACUCGACCAGAAGAUUUGGAUUUUCUGAUGCUCUUUUUUUUGUUGGAUCUGUUUUUUCCGAUGAUCCUUGGAAAAUUUUGUCAUGGUGAUUACCUUAAUCUUUUUCCAGACAUGAAAUUUUGAGAACUAAAUGACCGUAUGUAUCUUGAAGACUAGUACAGGAACCGGAGGAACAGGUGAUGGGAACAUCUGGUACCAGGCUGCGAUUCUUUGCUCCGGGAAGAUUCACGUGUGGGUUUUCUUGCCGACCUCCAGCAUUAGUCUCACAGUCUGCACUAGCGGUAGUGCGAAAAGGGUUUUUGAUACUGUGUUGGCCAUCCACCUACAACCUAGCAGCUGAUGCUGAACAUUUCCGAAACUCCCAAGCACAACGGUCCUCCUGUCUCAGAAUGGCUAUGGGAUGCCAUUUGUGGUUGUGCCGCAACCAUCAAGGAAACUCAUCAAGGACCAAAUCUUUUGCAGAGGGGACCGGUGAUGCAUAUCUCCACGGUAGCUGUUGAUGAUGAUGUUAAUCCAUGCACUCCAUCAUCCGUCGCCAUCCUGGAAUGGCACUGGAGGAGGCCCCCGCGGGCUGAAGACUGCUUUAAGAUUUUACAAUGCGUGAACUGCAGAAUGAUUGUCCUGUUUCUGAUAUGGACAUUCCUCAGCUCGCGAUGUCUUGUCAUCGGUCAUGGUUUCUUUUGAACAGGCUUCGAUUGGGUAUAUUAUAUUCAUAUCUCAGAGAACAAAACAGGUCAGUACUUUUUGUUUCCUUAAUGUUCUACCCUAUUCAAAGUGGAGUAUUUAUUUACUUGUUUUGGCUAGAAUUGCACUAUUUAGAUUAAUUAAAUGAUACCAGAAGCUUUUUUUUAAUGACUUAAAUAACCUAAUAUCAUUUUUCCUUGCGUGCUGGUUGCGUAUGUUUAUUAGCUUUAUAUUAGCUUUAUAUGGUUAUUAUUAUGUCUAUUGUGUAUGUUUACAUGCUUCUUAUUUGUAGUGGCACACUUGUUCGAAUAAUCAUGAAACAAAAUCACGCAAAUCCUUGCCUGCUGAUUAAUCUAAAUUUUUUGGGUUUAUACUCUUCAUCCCGAUGCAUUCAAGUCUUUAGUAGUACAGAGUGAUCUAUAUAUAUCUAUUAAUCUUCUUAAAUUUCACAUGAAGUUGAAGAUCAUAUGCGUCUUCGUCUAUGUCCACUCACGCAACUUCUACUUGAACACCUUAACUUGUCCUGUCUUGAUAUGUGGUGGGAAAAACAUGUUAAAGCGGAAUAAUUCUUUCUCUCUUUGUGUAUCAAAAUAGGUUUUUUAUCAAAAUACCAACUUGAUAUCCAAAUGCAAAUAUUAACCAGCAUAGCAUAAACAAUAGAGCAAAAAAUAAAUCACACAGUGAGACCAAAUCUUUUAAUGUGGAAAACCCAAUGUGGGAAAAACCACGGGACCGUAGUCCACCUCAAACUUCCACUAUCAAUAAUAAUGAUAACGAGUUUACAGUAGGUCUUCUCUAGAAUAACUAGAGCAUCAGAAUAACAUUAAGAUCAUAGAUCUUGGCUCAAGAAAAGCAUGUCUUUAUCAUGUCGGAUGGAUCUCCUCAAAAAAGAAUUCUAAGUAUAUAUUUCCUGUUUCAAGCCCGAUUCCUGUAGAAACUUUUUCAUCCAUAAAGUUUCCUUACAGGCUUCAGUAACUGCUAUGUAUUCUGCUUAUGUGGUUGAUAGAGCAACACAUUUCUGUAACUUAGACUGCCAAGAGACUGCUCCUCCUGCAAAUGUUAUUAAGAAUCCCGAAGUGGACUUCCUGGAAUCAGUAUCACCUGCCAUGUCUGCAUAUGUGUAACCUUAUAACACAGGUUCAUCACUGCCAAAACAUAAACACAACCUAGAAGUACCUCUUAGAUAUCUUAAUAUCCAUUUCACUACUGCCCAAUGUUCCUUUCCAGGAUUUGAGAGAAAUCGGCUGACAACUCCAACUGCAUGAGCAAUAUCUGGCCUAGUACAAACCAUAUUAUACAUCAAACUGCCUACUGCAGAUGAGUAAAGCACUCUGGACAUUUCUUCUUUUUCUUUCUCACUUGUAGGAUAUUGUUUCGAACUAAGCUUGAAAUGACCUGCAAGUGGGGAACAAACUAGUUUGGCUUUACUCAAGUUGAAUCUUUCAAGAACAUUUUCAAUAUAAGUCUCCUUAGAUAGCCAAAUCUUCUUUUUCUUCCUAUCACGAAAAAUCUUCAUGCCAAGUAUUUGUUUCACCGAUCCCAAGUCUUUCAUGGCAAAAGACUUACUUAGCUCUUUUUUAAGCUUUCCAAUUUUUUCAAUAUCAU